GAGUUUGAUCUUGGCUCAGAACGAACGCUGGCGGCAGGCUUAACACAUGCAAGUCGAACGCGUGUAGCAAUACACGAGUGGCGCACGGGUGAGUAACACGUGGAUAUCUGCCUUUUGGUUCGGAAUAACCCUGGGAAACUAGGGCUAAUACCGAAUGGUUCCUACGGGAUAAAGAUUUAUCGCCAAAAGAUGAGUCCGCGCCCGAUUAGCUAGUUGGUGAGGUAAUGGCUCACCAAGGCGACGAUCGGUAGCUGGUCUGAGAGGACGAUCAGCCACACUGGGACUGAGACACGGCCCAGACUCCUACGGGAGGCAGCAGUGGGGAAUAUUGGACAAUGGGGGCAACCCUGAUCCAGCCAUGCCGCGUGAGUGAUGAAGGCCUUC
This 384-nucleotide ribosomal RNA is filed under the name uncultured Alphaproteobacteria bacterium. RNAcentral describes it as "bacterial SSU rRNA". It matches the Rfam family "Bacterial small subunit ribosomal RNA", at positions 9 to 419 of the family's 1533-position model. The record is from RNAcentral. Lineage: Bacteria; Pseudomonadati; Pseudomonadota; Alphaproteobacteria.